CUUGCAGGAUUCUAGUUAUCCAAUCCUCAAAUGUUUCAGUUCGGAUCGCAGUCUGCAACUCGACUGCGUGAAGCUGGAAUCGCUAGUAAUCGCGGAUCAGCAUGCCGCGGUGAAUACGUUCCCGGGCCUUGUACACACCGCCCGUCACACCACGAGAGUUUGUAACACCCGAAGUCGGUGAGGUAACCUUUUAGGAGCCAGCCGCCGAAGGUGGACAGAUGAUUGGGGGG
This 230-nucleotide ribosomal RNA is filed under the name Bacillus sp. X. RNAcentral describes it as "partial 16S ribosomal RNA". It matches the Rfam family "Bacterial small subunit ribosomal RNA", at positions 1247 to 1482 of the family's 1533-position model. Lineage: Bacteria; Bacillati; Bacillota; Bacilli; Caryophanales; Bacillaceae. The record is from RNAcentral.